CCUGGACGGGCUGGCCGUCUCCGUCCAAGCGGUGCAUGGAUGUGGAAAAGGAAUCUGUAAGGGGUAGUAGUUCAGGGCGGUUUGUUCAUCAGCGCGAUGUCACCCGUGGUGUUGUGUCGGGAGAUGCAGUAACUGAACCAGCGAAGAAGACAUAUAUAUUUGUGGACAGCUUCAUCCUGGAGUUCAUUGUUAUUGUCUACAAUGAAUGAACAAUGACCAUUAACAGAUGGGUUGCCAUUCAUCAGUUCAUCCUCAAAGACACCUUUGGAUGUAAAGGCAACUACUUUUUUUAUUGAAAACUAAACUGACUCACAAUAAUCUGAUUCAGCUGUCAAAUGUUUUUAGGUGCAGCAAAUCCAAGCUAAAGAACGAUCUUGCGAAACUUUUUUUUGUAAGAUUUUGAGUUUUCAAACACUUAGUUUCAACCUUUCAGAACUUUAUUUUCAGUUUUGAAUCAAGGAAGGAUAUUAAUCCCAUACUGUCCCAAGUUGUUUGCAUUACAUGCAUCCAGUAAUCCUGUAUGUACUUUAAUUGUGGGGCAUUGAAUUACAAUGUUUGUCUCAUAACAGUAGAACUAAACCGCUGUUUUCUCUUCAGAGAGCAUAAACACUAAGGCAUGGUUACAGUUACUGGUCACAUGUAAUAAAGCUUGAAGACAA
This is a long non-coding RNA of Micropterus salmoides (largemouth bass), 659 nucleotides long. RefSeq lists it as uncharacterized. The transcript is spliced from 2 exons. The record is from RefSeq and is a predicted model, not a curated record. NCBI's taxonomy places the organism in Eukaryota, Metazoa, Chordata, Actinopteri, Centrarchiformes, Centrarchidae.